GACGUACGCUGGCGGCGUGCUUAACACAUGCAAGUCGAACGGAAAGGCCCUGCUUUUGUGGGGUGCUCGAGUGGCGAACGGGUGAGUAACACGUGAGUAACCUGCCCUUGACUUUGGGAUAACUUCAGGAAACUGGGGCUAAUACCGGAUAGGAGCUCCUGCUGCAUGGUGGGGGUUGGAAAGUUUCGGCGGUUGGGGAUGGACUCGCGGCUUAUCAGCUUGUUGGUGGGGUAGUGGCUUACCAAGGCUUUGACGGGUAGCCGGCCUGAGAGGGUGACCGGCCACAUUGGGACUGAGAUACGGCCCAGACUCCUACGGGAGGCAGCAGUGGGGAAUAUUGCACAAUGGGCGGAAGCCUGAUGCAGCAACGCCGCGUGCGGGAUGACGGCCUUCGGGUUGUAAACCGCUUUCGCCUGUGACGAAGCGUGAGUGACGGUAAUGGGGAAAGAAGCACCGGCUAACUACGU
Molecule: ribosomal RNA, 467 nt
Filed under: uncultured bacterium
Lineage: Bacteria
Description: partial 16S ribosomal RNA
Rfam family: Bacterial small subunit ribosomal RNA
Source: RNAcentral